AUGUUAUCAUCAAAGCUACUCGAUGCGCGAGCCGGCAUCUCCACUCUAUGCACGACCGCCACACCAUUGUUGAGCACGCGUACCACCACAAUUUCUCGUUGGACAAGGCAUAAAUCUCUUGAGGCCAUCAACAAACUGAAGUCUUCCUGCUUCCAUCAAUCUCAAAUGAUGGCAGGUGUCACAAAUGGCAAUUCACACAGUGAUAUUCAGAGAAAAUAUCAAGUUGUGGUUGCUGCUACCCGUGAGAUGGGCAUUGGGAAGGACGGAGCAUUGCCAUGGAAGCUGCCUAGUGACCUUAAGUUUUUUAAGGAUCUCACAAUGGCUACAGCAGACCCAUCAAAGAAAAAUGCUGUUAUAAUGGGAAGGAAAACAUGGGAAAGCAUACCCACUAAGUUUAGGCCAUUGCCCGGUCGCUUGAAUGUUAUACUGACUCGUUCGGACAGUUCUGAUUAUGCAACUGUUGAAAAUGUUGUCACCUGUGGAAGCUUGGAUUCUUCCCUAGAACUACUAGCAUCAGCUCCCUACAGCUCAACAAUUGAGAAAGCCUUUCUAAUAGGGGGUGGCCAGGUACUGAGGGAAUCGCUAAAUGCAUCUGCAUGUGAGGCCAUCCAUCUUACUGACAUAGAGUCCACCAUUGAGUGUGAUACUUUCAUUCCUCCUAUUGAUCCAUUGGUCUUCCACCCAUGGUAUUCAUCUUCUCCAGUUGUGGAGAACAACAUUAGGCAUUCUUUCGCGACCUUUGUUCGCGUUAGAAAGUCGGCAGAAGAGGCUAAUGACUCAAAUCUCAGUGAAUUAACCAGCAAUGAUGCUAAGAAGAAAAAGUUUGAAAUUCAGAAUUUUUCAUUUCUACCAAAAAUGAUCUUCGAAAAGCAUGAUGAGUAUCAGUAUCUCAAUCUUGUUCAAGAUAUACUACGAAGUGGUGCUCGGAAAAAUGACAGAACAGGAACAGGAACAAUAUCAAAAUUUGGUUGUCAGAUGCGGUUUAACUUGAGGAAGAAUUUUCCAUUACUUACAACAAAGAGGGUGUUCUGGCGUGGUGUUCUUGAAGAACUGUUGUGGUUCAUCAGUGGCUCAACAAAUGCAAAGGUUUUACAGGAAAAAAAUAUUCGUAUAUGGGAUGGCAAUGCGUCAAGGGAGUAUCUUGACAGUAUUGGUCUAUCACAAAGAGAGGAGGGUGACUUGGGACCAGUUUAUGGAUUUCAGUGGAGACACUUCGGUGCUGAAUAUACUGACAUGCAUGCUGAUUACACGGGGAAAGGUUUUGAUCAGUUAGCUGAUGUCAUUAACAAGAUCAAGAAUAACCCUGACGAUAGGCGUAUCAUUAUGUCUGCAUGGAAUCCAACAGAUCUCAAGAAGAUGGCACUUCCACCUUGCCACAUGUUUGCACAGUUUUAUGUCGAGAAUGGAGAAUUAUCCUGUCAGAUGUAUCAACGUUCAGCUGACAUGGGGCUUGGUGUACCAUUCAACAUUGCAUCAUAUUCUCUUCUGACGUGUAUGAUUGCACAAGUUUGUGAUCUUUCUCCUGGAGAUUUUGUCCAUGUGAUGGGCGAUGCCCAUGUCUACAGCACGCACGUCCAAGCCUUGGAGGAACAACUUCAGAAGCAGCCCAAGCCAUUUCCUAUUCUGAAGAUAAACCCUCUGAAGAAGGAUAUAGACGCGUUCGUCGCGUCAGACUUUAAGCUGGUCUCCUACGACCCGCACCAGAAGAUAGAGAUGAAGAUGGCAGUAUAA
RNAcentral lists this ribosomal RNA (1731 nucleotides) under Triticum aestivum (bread wheat). RNAcentral describes it as "partial small subunit ribosomal RNA". The record is from RNAcentral. Lineage: Eukaryota; Viridiplantae; Streptophyta; Magnoliopsida; Poales; Poaceae.